This is a long non-coding RNA of Nicotiana tabacum (common tobacco), 1126 nucleotides long. RefSeq lists it as uncharacterized. Lineage: Eukaryota; Viridiplantae; Streptophyta; Magnoliopsida; Solanales; Solanaceae. The record is from RefSeq and is a predicted model, not a curated record.
UCUCUUAAAAAGGCCAGCGACGGCGCACCCCUCCCUGGGCUCCCUCUUGAUCUCUCUCAAAACCAGACCCCCCAUUUUUGGAAACCGAUUUUCAGCUAAAAAUGGCUGCUUCAAAAACUUCUACUCUCUCUCGCUGAAGAAAAAACGGACUCUCAUCUUCACACAAACGGACCCCCACCCUUGAAAAAACGUAGCAGCUGCUAAGAAAAUGGCAGUACUAGCGAGAGAAGAAGAGAAGCUUUAAGCUCCAGCCGCACCACCCCAUCUCCGCCCCGUACACUUUCACUGAUUAGAAGCAAAAAUUUCGAACAUUAAAAAAACAAAGACUAGAAAAGACAGAGAUCUAACUCGCAAAAAAGCUUCAAACAAGAGGAGUGAAAGGGAUCUGGGUAGCCACUUCAAUUUUUGCUGGUUUUGCACUACUUUUUUUUGAAACUUUUAAGGUUUAAUCGGACUGGAAUCAUCUUAUUUCUGCUGCUGUGUUACUUGAAUUCGUUGCUGAGCUUCAAACCCGCUGAUUCUAGCUUUAUUUGGCUUUCUUCUCUUCUAAAUUUGAACUUUGUGCAACGAGGUAUGUUCUCCACAAAAUUGUUCUUAGAUCUGUUUUGUUAUGGAAUCAUUGUUGUUGUUUAGUUCGUUUGUUGCUCUUAUAUGAAUUUAUUUGUUAGAUUUAAUUUCACACAAUGAGUGGAAUGUUACUAAACGCAAUUUUUCUUCAAAAGCUCUCUGUGUGCUUCAAGGAUUGUUUUCCCAAAUUUGCCCAGUAAUUGGAGAUUGUGCGUGGAUCUAAGUGUUAAAAUGGAGCAAGGUUUUGGUUCAGACUCUUUUCCACUAGCAGGGUCCAUUGACAAGUCUAAGGUUUUAGACGUUAAGUCUAUGAGAUGUCUUAUGCUUGUUUUUCCAUCUCCAUGUUUGAAUCAGUUAAUUAAGAGAAAAAUAUUCAAGCCUGUUGGAUGUGGUUUCCUACUAUCACUUAAGGUUGAAAUCAGAAUCCAUGUCUAAUUAAUUGGAUCAUGUUAUCAUUUCUGGGCACUUCGACUAUUACGAUUGUAAAUUCUUUAAGAUUCUUGUACCUAUAACUCUAACAACAGAUAGAUUCCAUAAAUUCUGGGCCUUUCAAUAAUCA